UAGUCUGCAACUCGACUACAUGAAGCUGGAAUCGCUAGUAAUCGCGAAUCAGAAUGUCGCGGUGAAUACGUUCCCGGGCCUUGUACACACCGCCCGUCACACCAUGGGAGCCGGUAAUACCCGAAGUCAGUAGUCCAACCACGUGAGGACGCUGCCGAAGGUAGGAUUGGCGACUGGGUGAAGUCGUAACAAGGUACC
RNAcentral lists this ribosomal RNA (198 nucleotides) under uncultured bacterium. RNAcentral describes it as "partial 16S ribosomal RNA". It matches the Rfam family "Bacterial small subunit ribosomal RNA", at positions 1301 to 1500 of the family's 1533-position model. The record is from RNAcentral.